GUUGGCCAUCAUGCUCUUUUACCACUGGAUCGUCGUACUCUGUAGCUGUGCUCUGUCCAAGAUGGAAUAGCUAGCAGCACAUCAAACAAAGUUAAGAAGUCAGUACUUGGCGGACACCAUUUGAUCAUUGGAACAAUACACGUAAGAAAUUUGAAUUU
Daphnia pulicaria is the source of this 158-nucleotide long non-coding RNA. RefSeq lists it as uncharacterized. The record is from RefSeq and is a predicted model, not a curated record. The transcript is spliced from 2 exons. Lineage: Eukaryota; Metazoa; Arthropoda; Branchiopoda; Diplostraca; Daphniidae.